RNAcentral lists this transfer RNA (66 nucleotides) under Iphione sp. YZ-2018. RNAcentral's name for it is "tRNA-Glu". The record is from RNAcentral. Lineage: Eukaryota; Metazoa; Annelida; Polychaeta; Phyllodocida; Iphionidae.
AUAGAUAUAGUAUAUCCUUAUUACCCCGGCUUUUCAAGCCGUAAAUACCUGCAACGGUUAUCUAUA